This 64-nucleotide ribosomal RNA is filed under the name Lysinibacillus composti. Its description in RNAcentral is "partial 16S ribosomal RNA". It matches the Rfam family "Bacterial small subunit ribosomal RNA", at positions 1 to 59 of the family's 1533-position model. The record is from RNAcentral. Lineage: Bacteria; Bacillati; Bacillota; Bacilli; Caryophanales; Bacillaceae.
UUUCUUUUAUGGAGAGUUUGAUCCUGGCUCAGGACGAACGCUGGCGGCGUGCCUAAUACAUGCA